This 466-nucleotide ribosomal RNA is filed under the name uncultured bacterium. RNAcentral describes it as "partial 16S ribosomal RNA". It matches the Rfam family "Bacterial small subunit ribosomal RNA", at positions 28 to 507 of the family's 1533-position model. The record is from RNAcentral.
GACGAACGCUGGCGGUGUGCUUAACACAUGCAAGUCGAACGGUAAGGCCCUUUCGGGGGUCCACGAGUGGCGAACGGGUGAGUAACACGUGAGUAACCUGCCCUCAUCUCUGGGAUAACAGUCGGAAACGGUUGCUAAUACUAGAUAUGAGCUUGCAAGGCAUCUUGUGGGUUGGAAAGAUUUUUUUGGUUGGGGAUGGACUCGCGGCCUAUCAGCUUGUUGGUGAGGUAGUGGCCCACCAAGGCUUCGACGGGUAGCCGGCCUGAGAGGGCGACCGGCCACAUUGGGACUGAGAUACGGCCCAAACUCCUACGGGAGGCAGCAGUGGGGAAUAUUGCACAAUGGACGGAAGUCUGAUGCAGCAACGCCGCGUGCGGGAUGACGGCCUUCGGGUUGUAAACCGCUUUCAAUUGUGACGAAGCUUUUUGUGACGGUAGCAGUAGAAGAAGCACCGGCUAACUACGUG